CGCGCAGGCGGCGCGCCAAGCGGGACUUCUAACCCCGGGGCUCAACCCCGGGCCGGGUCCCGAACUGGCGCGCUCGGGUGCGGUAGAGGAGAGCGGAAUUCCCGGUGUAGCGGUGGAAUGCGCAGAUAUCGGGAAGAACACCGAUGGCGAAGGCAGCUCUCUGGGCCGUCACCGACGCUGAGGCGCGAAAGCCGGGGGAGCGAACA
This 206-nucleotide ribosomal RNA is filed under the name uncultured bacterium. RNAcentral's name for it is "partial 16S ribosomal RNA". It matches the Rfam family "Bacterial small subunit ribosomal RNA", at positions 568 to 774 of the family's 1533-position model. The record is from RNAcentral.